GCAACCUGAGUGAAAGUUUGUCAACAGCCGACGUGUCGCACCCACGGUUUUUGUUACUUUAUUAAUAAAUGUGAAACAAAUAGACUAAUCUCUCGUCGUGUAUCAUUGGAAGAAGUCACAAUAGUUGUUGUCAAGCCCAACAAACGCGGUACCUGCCGGCUCGAUGGCUGUAGCGGAGGAAGCUGUUAGCAUUAGCAGCUAGCAUUACAGUCUGCAUCCAUUUUAAAUCCAUCUGUUUCUGCUGUCUGGCACAAAGGAGCACUGAGUGAAGAUGGCAUGUGCAACAUUAGCUCUCCACCUUGGUCCCGUGGCGUAAAUCACCACCGCAAAUGAGAGCUGCUGACAAAGCGCCCGCUGGAUAAUCAACAAUAAUAACGAGAGAGAGAAAGAAAAGGGAGGCUACAAGAGAACAACAGAAAAUGUGAAUCGUGCUCCAGUAUGUCACUAAAUCUGCCGUUCAAUAUUUCUGGUCACCUGACAUUAACUGAGCGGCCUGCUAUCGUUUCCUGCCUAAAUAAAUGGUCAACGGAGUGGUCCUUCCACGAUUUGGGAAAAAAAAACAAAUCAAUCAUCCUCUUACUGUAAAUUGCCAGUUGCUAUUUAAAAUUAUCUGUAAUUUUUCAUUUGAGGAUGCAACUGGUGGGAUCUUUAAGGACAAUGAAAGACGAACAUCGCGAUAUCUGUCUGUUGUCCAUUUUGCUUUUUGUUGCAAGUCCUGCAUGAUAACAACAAAGGGAGAGUCAAUCACGGUCAGUCAAAAUUACCAUAAUUUGUCAUGCAUAAAAGUUGACUUAAAAAGCUUGGAAAACAUUUGUACCCAUGUAUAAUGCAUUUUUAAAAUGCCUGAUUUUGCAUCCACCCAAAUGAUCAAAACAUGAAGUAUCAUCUGUAUUUUAUUAGUUUUUUCACAGAAUUCUUCUGACUUUAAGCCCUUUAUUUGAACACUUAAUACUUUCUUUACUUGCUGUUAUUUUGAAAUUCACCACCCUACUUUUAUUUAGUAAAUAAGAAAACACACAGUUGUGCUCAUGUUUGAUCACUCAGGCGGAAUUGGUGUGAUGGGUUCAAUUCUUUAAAAUAUGAAGGGCCCAGCCA
Long non-coding RNA from Syngnathoides biaculeatus (alligator pipefish), 1095 nucleotides. RefSeq lists it as uncharacterized. The transcript is spliced from 4 exons. Lineage: Eukaryota; Metazoa; Chordata; Actinopteri; Syngnathiformes; Syngnathidae. The record is from RefSeq and is a predicted model, not a curated record.